Pelobates cultripes (western spadefoot toad) is the source of this 168-nucleotide non-coding RNA. Lineage: Eukaryota; Metazoa; Chordata; Amphibia; Anura; Pelobatidae. The record is from the annotation of a GenBank genome assembly.
AUGUAGCAUUCGACUGAUUGUUCGGUAAAAUCACUCCAGUUCUUAUGCAAAUGAAACUACCGAACAAUCAGACCAACCCAGUAAUAAGUGUUGUCUGAUUGUUCGGUAGUUUCAUUUGCAUAAGAACUGGAGUGACUUUACCGAACAAUCAGUCGAAUGCUACAUACA